UUUUUCAAAAAAAAUUUUUUUUAUUUUUUUACCCACGAAUUCUGUAAUUUUUCAUAAAAUCGUCCAUAACUCUUUUAUUUUGAGAUUUACGGCUAAAUGUUAUUCUUUAUGAUUUGUUCUAUUUUUAACUAGGAAUCCAAUGCUAAAAGAAAAUUUUCCAUAUUCUGAAUAGCUUUCGAGAAAAUGAGGAAAAACUGUUAAGAGGUUUUUCCCAAUUUUCUGGAAAACCGUUGGAGGAAAAAAUUAUUUUUCAAGUGCAUUGGAUGCCCAUUGACAUUCCAAACAAUUUUUGUUCCAACAAUUUUUUUCUCCAACCAAUAGUUUUCCAGAAAAAAAAUAAAAACCGAAAUUAUGAACAUUUUCCCAGGGGUACCCCUUUGAAUCUUUUGAGGAAGAAAUUUUUCGGAAAAUUGGGUAGAACUUUUUCCAGGUGCAUUUUUUGAAAAAGUUUUAUAAGACUUUUUUGAAGUGUUUUAGACGAUUUAUCGAUUUGCCAAAAAAAAAAAAUUAAAUUUUUUUUCCAAUUUUUUACCCAAAAAUUCUGUAAUUUUUCAUAAAAUCGUCCAUAACUCUUUUAUUUUAAGAUUUCCGGCUAAAUGUUAUUCUUUAUGAUUUGUUCUAUUUUUGACUAGGAAUCCAAUGCUAAAAGAAAAUUUUCCAUAUUCUGAAUAGUUUUCGAGAAAAUGAGGAAAAACUGUUUAGAAGUUUUUCCCAAUUUUCCGGGAAACUGUUGGAUUUAAAAAUUAUUUUUCUAUUGCAUCUAAUGCACAUUGACAUUCUAAACAACUUUUGUCCUAACAAUUUUUUUCUCCAACCAAUAGUUUUCCAGAAAAAAAAUAAAAACCGAAAUUAUGAACAUUUUUUCAGGGGUACCCCUUUGGAUUUUUUGAGGAAGAAAUUUUUCGGAAAAUUGGGUAUAACUUUUUCCAGGUGCAUUUUUUGAAAAAGUUUUAUAAGACUUUUUUGAAGUGUUUUAGACGAUUUAUCGAUUUGCCAAAAAAAAAAAUUAAAUUUUUUUUCCAAUUUUUUACCCAAAAAUUCUGUAAUUUUUCAUAAAAUCGUCCAUAACUCUUUUAUUUUAAGAUUUCCGGCUAAAUGUUAUUCUUUAUGAUUUGUUCUAUUUUUGACUAGGAAUCCAAUGCUAAAAGAAAAUUUUCCAUAUUCUGAAUAGUUUUCGAGAAAAUGAGGAAAAACUGUUUAGAAGUUUUUCCCAAUUUUCCGGGAAACUGUUGGAUUUAAAAAUUAUUUUUCUAUUGCAUCUAAUGCACAUUGACAUUCUAAACAACUUUUGUCCUAACAAUUUUUUUCUCCAACCAAUAGUUUUCCAGAAAAAAAAUAAAAACCGAAAUUAUGAACAUUUUUUCAGGGGUACCCCUUUGGAUUUUUUGAGGAAGAAAUUUUUCGGAAAAUUGGGUAUAACUUUUUCCAGGUGCAUUUUUCAAAAAAGUUUUAUAAGACUUUUUUGAAGUGUUUUAGACGAUUUAUCGAUUUGCCAAAAAAAAAAAUUAAAUUUUUUCAAAAAUUUUUCUUUCAAUUUUUUACCCAAAAAUUCUGUAAUUUUUCAUAAAAUCGUCCAUAACUCUUUUAUUUUAAGAUUUCCGGCUAAAUGUUAUUCUUUAUGAUUUGUUCUAUUUUUGACUAGGAAUCCAAUGCUAAAAGAAAAUUUUCCAAAUUCUGAAUAGCUUUCGAGAAAAUGAGGAAAAACUGUAAAGAGGUUUUUCCCAAUUUUCUGAAAAACUGUUGGUGAAAAAAAUUAUUUUUCAAUUGCGUUCGAUGCCCAUUGACAUUCCAAACAACUUUUGUUCGAACAAUUUUUCUCUCCAACCAAUAGUUUUCCAGAAAAAAAAUAAAAACCGAAAUUAUGAACAUUUUUCCAGGGGCUCCCCUUUGGAUUUUUUGAGGAAGAAAUUUUUCGGAAAAUUGAGUAUAACUUUUUCCAGGUGCAUUUUUUGAAAAAGUUUUAUAAGACUUUUUUGAAGUGUUUUAGACGAUUUAUCGAUUUGCCAAAAAAAAAAUUAAAUU
Molecule: long non-coding RNA, 2022 nt
Organism: Anthonomus grandis grandis
Lineage: Eukaryota; Metazoa; Arthropoda; Insecta; Coleoptera; Curculionidae
Exons: 4
Source: RefSeq, a predicted model, not a curated record